UACGGAAGGCAGCAGUGGGGAAUAUUGCACAAUGGGCGAAAGCCUGAUGCAGCUAUGCCGCGUGUAUGAAGAAGGCCUUAGGGUUGUAAAGUACUUUCAUCGGGGAGGAAAAAACAAAACUAAUAAUUUUAUUUCUUGACGUUACCCGAAAAAGAAGCACCGGCUAACUCCGUGCCAGCAGCCGCGGUAAUACGGAGGGUGCUAGCGUUAAUCAGAAUUACUGGGCGUAAAGAGCACGUAGGUGGUUUUUUUAAGUCAGAUGUGAAAUCCCUGGGCUUAACCUGGAACUGCAUUUUGAAACUGAAAUACUAGAGUAUCGUAGAGGGAGGUAGAAUUCUAGGUGUAGCGGUGAAAUGCGUAGAUAUCUGGAGGAAUACCUGUGGCGAAAGCGGCCUCCUAAACGAAUACUGACACUGAGGUGCGAAAGCGUAGGGAGCAAACAGGGAUUAGAUACC
Molecule: ribosomal RNA, 455 nt
Filed under: uncultured bacterium
Lineage: Bacteria
Description: bacterial SSU rRNA
Rfam family: Bacterial small subunit ribosomal RNA
Source: RNAcentral